ACGGCAGCACGGGUGCUUGCACCUGGUGGCGAGUGGCGAACGGGUGAGUAAUACAUCGGAACAUGUCCUGUAGUGGGGGAUAGCCCGGCGAAAGCCGGAUUAAUACCGCAUACGAUCUACGGAUGAAAGCGGGGGACCUUCGGGCCUCGCGCUAUAGGGUUGGCCGAUGGCUGAUUAGCUAGUUGGUGGGGUAAAGGCCUACCAAGGCGACGAUCAGUAGCCGGUCUGAGAGGACGACCAGCCACACUGGGACUGAGACACGGCCCAGACUCCUACGGGAGGCAGCAGUGGGGAAUUUUGGACAAUGGGCGAAAGCCUGAUCCAGCAAUGCCGCGUGUGUGAAGAAGGCCUUCGGGUUGUAAAGCACUUUUGUCCGGAAAGAAAUCCUUGGUUCUAAUAUAGCCGGGGGAUGACGGUACCGGAAGAAUAAGCACCGGCUAACUACGUGCCAGCAGCCGCGGUAAUACGUAGGGUGCGAGCGUUAAUCGGAAUUACUGGGCGUAAAGCGUGCGCAGGCGGUUUGCUAAGACCGAUGUGAAAUCCCCGGGCUCAACCUGGGAACUGCAUUGGUGACUGGCAGGCUAGAGUAUGGCAGAGGGGGGUAGAAUUCCACGUGUAGCAGUGAAAUGCGUAGAGAUGUGGAGGAAUACCGAUGGCGA
RNAcentral lists this ribosomal RNA (659 nucleotides) under uncultured beta proteobacterium. RNAcentral describes it as "bacterial SSU rRNA". It matches the Rfam family "Bacterial small subunit ribosomal RNA", at positions 66 to 718 of the family's 1533-position model. Lineage: Bacteria; Pseudomonadati; Pseudomonadota; Betaproteobacteria. The record is from RNAcentral.